Molecule: non-coding RNA, 28 nt
Filed under: Bombyx mori (domestic silkworm)
Lineage: Eukaryota; Metazoa; Arthropoda; Insecta; Lepidoptera; Bombycidae
Source: RNAcentral
GACUCUUCAACACCAGUGAACUCGUCAA